CGGACAGAUGGGAGCUUGCUCCCUGAUGUUAGCGGCGGACGGGUGAGUAACACGUGGGUAACCUGCCUGUAAGACUGGGAUAACUCCGGGAAACCGGGGCUAAUACCGGAUGGUUGUUUGAACCGCAUGGUUCAAACAUAAAAGGUGGCUUCGGCUACCACUUACAGAUGGACCCGCGGCGCAUUAGCUAGUUGGUGAGGUAACGGCUCACCAAGGCAACGAUGCGUAGCCGACCUGAGAGGGUGAUCGGCCACACUGGGACUGAGACACGGCCCAGACUCCUACGGGAGGCAGCAGUAGGGAAUCUUCCGCAAUGGACGAAAGUCUGACGGAGCAACGCCGCGUGAGUGAUGAAGGUUUUCGGAUCGUAAAGCUCUGUUGUUAGGGAAGAACAAGUACCGUUCGAAUAGGGCGGUACCUUGACGGUACCUAACCAGAAAGCCACGGCUAACUACGUGCCAGCAGCCGCGGUAAUACGUAGGUGGCAAGCGUUGUCCGGAAUUAUUGGGCGUAAAGGGCUCGCAGGCGGUUUCUUAAGUCUGAUGUGAAAGCCCCCGGCUCAACCGGGGAGGGUCAUUGGAAACUGGGGAACUUGAGUGCAGAAGAGGAGAGUGGAAUUCCACGUGUAGCGGUGAAAUGCGUAGAGAUGUGGAGGAACACCAGUGGCGAAGGCGACUCUCUGGUCUGUAACUGACGCUGAGGAGCGAAAGCGUGGGGAGCGAACAGGAUUAGAUACCCUGGUAGUCCACGCCGUAAACGAUGAGUGCUAAGUGUUAGGGGGUUUCCGCCCCUUAGUGCUGCAGCUAACGCAUUAAGCACUCCGCCUGGGGAGUACGGUCGCAAGACUGAAACUCAAAGGAAUUGAC
RNAcentral lists this ribosomal RNA (866 nucleotides) under Bacillus subtilis. RNAcentral describes it as "bacterial SSU rRNA". It matches the Rfam family "Bacterial small subunit ribosomal RNA", at positions 67 to 914 of the family's 1533-position model. The record is from RNAcentral. Lineage: Bacteria; Bacillati; Bacillota; Bacilli; Caryophanales; Bacillaceae.